This 253-nucleotide ribosomal RNA is filed under the name uncultured bacterium. RNAcentral's name for it is "partial 16S ribosomal RNA". It matches the Rfam family "Bacterial small subunit ribosomal RNA", at positions 524 to 776 of the family's 1533-position model. The record is from RNAcentral.
UACGGAGGGUGCGAGCGGUGUUCGGAAUUACUGGGCGUAAAGGGGGCGUAGGCGGUUUGUUAAGUCAAGUGUGAAAGUCCACGGCUUAACUGUGGAAGUGCAUUUGAGACUGGCAGGCUGGAGUUUCGGAAGGGAAAGUGGAAUUCCUGGUGUAGGAGUGAAAUCCGUAGAUAUCAGGAGGAAUACCGGUGGCGAAGGCGACUUUCUGGACGAAUACUGACGCUGAGGCCCGAAAGCGUGGGGAGCAAACAGG